RNAcentral lists this signal recognition particle RNA (307 nucleotides) under Theobroma cacao (cacao). RNAcentral describes it as "SRP RNA Plant_SRP". It matches the Rfam family "Plant signal recognition particle RNA". Lineage: Eukaryota; Viridiplantae; Streptophyta; Magnoliopsida; Malvales; Malvaceae. The record is from Rfam by way of RNAcentral.
GCCGAGCUUAGUAACGCAAGCUUGUCACCUAAGUUGGGGCAUUAUGAUGAUGGAACACGGGUUCUAUCGAGUGUGUCGGAUCCACUGUUGGUAUAAUUCGGGCCUGCCCGCUCCAAGCCAAGAGUUGUGCCGUGGGACCUGAGUGAAGACUCUGGGUCUCGUGGUUCCUAAAGUGGUGGGUACUGCGUGAGGCUGGUUUCACAGAGCAGCGAAGACCACCCGCUCUUAGCAGUGGAAGGAUAACAGGCCUGCGCCACAUGGAUCCAAUAUGGCUCAUUGGGUUGGCCCUGACUGGACCAUCAUCUUU